This 419-nucleotide ribosomal RNA is filed under the name bacterium. RNAcentral describes it as "partial 16S ribosomal RNA". It matches the Rfam family "Bacterial small subunit ribosomal RNA", at positions 355 to 776 of the family's 1533-position model. The record is from RNAcentral.
UGGGGGAUAUUGCACAAUGGGCGAAAGCCUGAUGCAGCGACGCCGCGUGGGGGAUGAAGGCCUUCGGGUUGUAAACUUCUUUUGCUCUGAACAAGGCGCACCAUGGGGUGUGUUGAGUGUAGGGGUUGAUUAGCGCCGGCUAACUACGUGCCAGCAGCCGCGGUAAUACGUAGGGCGCGAGCGUUGUCCGGAAUUAUUGGGCGUAAAGGGCUUGUAGGUGGCUGGUUGCGUCUGUCGUGAAAGCUCAUGGCUUAACUGUGGGUUUGCGGGGGGUACGGGCUGGCUUGAGUGCAGUAGGGGAGGCUGGAAUUCCUGGUGUAGCGGUGGAAUGCGCAGAUAUCAGGAGGAAUACCGGUGGCGAAGGCGGGUCUCUGGGCUGUUACUGACACUGAGGAGCGAAAGCAUGGGGAGCGAAGAGG